Homalodisca vitripennis (glassy-winged sharpshooter) is the source of this 201-nucleotide long non-coding RNA. RefSeq lists it as uncharacterized. NCBI's taxonomy places the organism in Eukaryota, Metazoa, Arthropoda, Insecta, Hemiptera, Cicadellidae. The record is from RefSeq and is a predicted model, not a curated record. The transcript is spliced from 2 exons.
UUUUAGAUUGGACUCUGUAUUUUACUUGCACAACUGCUAAAGGUUUUGUACAAUAUUCAUUUUUAAAUAGAGGGGUUUAGUCAAAUUUAAUGGGGAAAAGGAAAGAUACGGAGCACUGAAGAAGAAGCAGUUUUGGAUGGUGAUGGAUUGCUUAUGGGUACGCCAAUAAAGAAGCACAAGAAAACACAAACAUAAAAAACA